Long non-coding RNA from Oncorhynchus keta (chum salmon), 587 nucleotides. RefSeq lists it as uncharacterized. The record is from RefSeq and is a predicted model, not a curated record. NCBI's taxonomy places the organism in Eukaryota, Metazoa, Chordata, Actinopteri, Salmoniformes, Salmonidae. The transcript has 3 exons.
CAUGCUCUCUCUCCCAGGUAGUUUCUUUACAACGCUAAGCUACUGUAGGCCAGCCAGAUGUUUACAUGCUCUCCCAGGUGGUUUCUUUACAACGCUAAGCUACUGUAGGCCAGCCAGAUGUUUACAUGCUCUCCCAGGUAGUUUCUUUACAACGCUAAACUACUGUAGGCCAGCCAGAUGUUUACAUGCUCUCCCAGGUAGUUUCUUUACAACGCUAAACUACUGUAGGCCAGCCAGAUGUUUACAUGCUCUCCCAGGUAGUUUCUUUACAACGCUAAACUACUGUAGGCCAGCCAGAUGUUUACAUGCUCUCCCAGGUAGUUUCUUUACAACGCUAAACUACUGUAGGCCAGCCAGAUGUUUACAUGCUCUCCCAGGUAGUUUCUUUACAACGCUAAGCUACUGUAGGCCAGCCAGAUGUUUACAUGCUCUCCCAGGUAGUUUCUUUACAACGCUAAACUACUGUAGGCCAGCCAGAUGUUUACAUGCUCUCCCAGGUAGUUUCUUUACAACGCUAAACUACUGUAGGCCAGCCAGAUGUUUACAUGCUCUCCCAGGUAGUUUCUUUACAACGCUAAGCUACUGUA